ACCAAGCAAUUCUCUGCAACACCACUGGGUGUCCUGCAGUUUAACUUAAUUCCAGCACUGCCUGGAGGCAGUGUCAGAUCCCACAGGUAGGGCUCACCCCCACAGACCGUUCCUACCCCUCUUCAGAUGCCAGUCACAGCCCAGGUAGCCCCUGAGCUUCAGCCUAAAGCACAGUACAGGGGAGUUCUCACCAACUCCUCCUUGGGUUUGAUGAAUUUGCUAGGGCAGCUCAUAGAACUUGGGGCAAGGCCUACAUGCACCUGCUGGUUUAUUCAAGGCUAUGAUAAAGGACACAAGUGAACAGUCAGCUGGUGCGAUGCCCAGGCGACAUCUGGGAGGGUCCCGAGUGGAGGAGCUUCUGCCCCUGUGGAGUUGCGGGGGGAGGUCAGCUCCUGCUGAGGGUGUGUUUGCCUGAGUGGAAGCUCUCUGAACCCCAUACUGUUGGGGUUCUAUGGAGGCUUCCUCACAUAGGCACGGCUGGUUAUUAACUCCAUUUCUAGCCCCUCUUUCCUUUCUGGAGAAAUGAAGGGUGGUCCUUUGGUAACUAGCUCCACCCAGAAGCCCCCCAGCAUGGACCCAUUAGAACAAAAGCUGUUCCUAGUGCCUUAUCACUUAGAAAAUCACGAGGGUUUUAGGAGCUCUGUGCCAGAGCUGGGGUCAGAGACCAAUUUAUAUUUUCUAUAAUCUCACUCUGUGCCAGGCACUCCAUGUACCUCUUCCGCUAGAGCCUCAGAAAGCCCUGUGGUUUGGGGCCCAUCAUUUCUGACUGACAAUAAGAACCCAAGUUCAGGAAGGAGAAGUGACCUGUUCAUGGCCACCUGCCUGAUGGGUGACUGAGCACAGGUUUAAGCCUAGCAUGUUAGAGCGGGAAGAACUGCCAUGUGAACGGGUGACACCCAGAGCCAUCUUUCUUCUGGAGCUUUGGAGUGGGGGGAUUGGGGGGGGGAAUGGGAGGGGAGAACAGAGUCCCCACAAAGGGAGGAGAAGAGGAAGGGACAGAAUCAGGACUCUGGCUAAUUUAAAGUCAGCUAUGGUUUGCACAGUCGGAUCGGCCUAGCCCUAUCCAGCCAUCUGUCUGAGGGCAAAUGGAACAGCUGGCCAGAGGCAGAACCCUGCAGUGACUCUUACAGGGGGAGAAUAAACGUAUUUGCCCACCUGUGGGCAGGAACCCCAACUAUUCUGGAUGGUAGGUCCAGAGCCAAGGAGGCUUCUGCUGCCCGGGGUCUUCAGUUUCUGAAUCAGCGAGGAGGGUGGUCCUCUGGGCCCCGAGAAGGGGUAGGGCAUGGGGAUGAGGGGACCUGGGCGUGAGGAAGGGGCAAGGGGCAGUUUCUGUUUACCAAACGGUACAACUGUAUUUCAUCAUUGUCACUACUGUACCCACACCCACCUGUUGAAUCACAGCACUGGCUAUCUGGCUAUUACCAUUUGUUUUUUAUUAUUAUCACUAUUUUAAUUAUAGCUUAACCAAGGGUAAAGAAUAUAAAAAGGAAAAUCAGGAGUUCCUGCUGUGGCUCAGUGGGUUAAGAACCCACCAUGGUAUCUCUUGGAUAGAAUCUGGCCAGAAGUCUUACCUUGUUUAACCCAUAGGGUAAUAAAAAGAAAUAUGGGAGUUCCUGUUGUGGCUCAGUGGCAGUGAGCCUGACUAGCAUCCAUGAGGAUGUGGGUUCGAUGCCUAGGCUCACUCAGUGGCUCAAGGAUCUGGCAUUGCACUGAGCUGUGGUGUAGGCUGGCAGCUGCAGCUCCAAUUUGACUCCUAGCCUGGGAACUUACGUAUGCUGUGGGUGUGGCUCUAAAAAGACAAAAGAAGGAAAAGAAUUAUGAAUCAACCUUCAAAAGGGGGAGAUUCAAAAGUUUGUCUUCUUUUAAAAAACAAAUUACAAGGCCUGGCAUCCAGGUCCACCGGGGCCCACAGUUUCCCCCUGGUGAUAGUUGCCCAGAGCUGAGUAGAGGCUGUCCCCUGCAUGCGGGGCAGACGCCCCUUGCUGAGCCACGCAUGUAUCAGACAGCUCCCAUCGCCCACUGGCCAAGGUUUGUCCUAAGUUCUCGACUCUCCUGCACUUCUGGGUGCUGCAGACUUGCUGGAGUCAGGGGUGUCCAGGGAUCGGGGUCGAACAGGAGGCACAUGGCUAAGGUGAGGCAUGAUGAGGCGGUCCCAGUGGGAGAACACCCACAGCCGGGUCAUUGAGGAAGUGACUGGGAUUAUGAGGGGGAGAAGCCAGAGAAUUUGAAGUCGUGGGCACGCAAGGUAGGACUCCGUGACCAUUCACUUAUCCCGAGGCCAGUCGGUAUUUUAGUCCAUCAUUCUCAGAGGUAACAGAGGUUAGCAAGGGUUUCCAGGCUUGUCAUGCCAGAAAUGGUGCCAGGCUGCCAGGCCUCAUGGAAAUUUCCACUGUAGAUUCGUCUGCUUUUAAGGGUUGCAAAGCACUAGUGGAUGAAAAUACGUAGACAUUUCUUGUUUCUUUUUCAAUUCUAUUCCAUCAUUCAUUUGCAUGAAUAUUUAUUAAGUGUCGAUUGGUGCAACAGUCUUGGAGAGACAGUUAUUGUCUUUCCAUUUAGCAGGUAAGACUUGAAGGCAGAACAGUGAAAUCGCUGGCACCACUGAAUAAAUGCUUCUGGACCCUUUUCAUGCCAGGUAACUAACAGGCAGAAGGGAGAUUUAAAUCCAGUCCUUCUGCUGGUUCUGCAUUCUUGUUCUCCAUAGAUUUGGAAGGGAAUGAAUCAAGCCUUCACCCAAUAAAAUUAUUCCUCUUGUGCAGCCCUGGAUAACAUACCUGCCAGCUUACUUUUCUUUUAAAAUGUGUUUUGUGUCCAUUUACAUUUUUCACCCACCACUGAUUAGGACCAGUCUGGACAUGGGAGAGGAUGCUGCGGUAGCUGUCCCAUGGUCCAGAGGGGAGGCCUCCCCCAGCCAUUGACAGGGUGUGCAUGGGGUCCUGAGAGGGCGACCUCAGUGGGAAGGCACCGGGGAGCUGAAGGAGGGCGUCGGUGGGGAGCAGAGCCCCGCAGCGGCCCCAGAAGGUCAGAGGUCUUGGGAUGAAGGCUGUCCCUCCGCAGGGCGUGCGACUCCUUUGAGAGUCACCGCUGUGGGGCUUGAGAAGACAGUUCCCGGGGAGUCACCCCUCCGAGCCCUCUGAGCCCCUCUUCAGGUCAGACGGGGCCGCACGGGGAGGGCGCUCCAUGCGUAGACGAACACCGACCGUGCUGGAAUAACGCGUGCUCUCCGGCGUUCGCAGCUGUGGAGCCCCGGGGAGUUGUCUGGCUACAUGUGAUUUUACAUAUCUGACAGCUAAAUCAGAGACCCAAAUGCCAGAGCAGCACUCAGGAACAUUACGUGGAUUUGUGACACUCCCAAGGGGACUCGGGAUCCAUAAAGCAAUGAAGGGAUUACAAUGAGGCAUAAAUAUAGCAUUUUCAUCUGUGACAUACAAUCCCGCUCUAUUAUUUCUCACAUUGUUAUGUGAAAGAAAUCUAUACCCCCUCUUUCAGGUCUGUUGCCAGGAAUUAAAAACAAAGAGAGCUUUAAGAUAGGCAGCAAAAAGAAGCUCUGGAAGCCCCAGGAAGGAACCAAGCACCAAGUGUGAUAAGGGUGACAGUUCCAUCGAGGCGACUGGCAACAGAGGGUCGACCCCAGGAUCCCGCACGUUGUCAGCCAGCAGCACCCUCACCCAGGCCAGCACGUCAGCUGUGCCAGCGACUAGCUGCGUGGCUUUGAGCAAAUCACUCCCUCUCUCUCUGGGCCUCCACUUCCUCUUUUGUCCAGGGGACUCCACAGUUAGAGGCGUGCACCCUCACAGGGCGGGCGAAGUGGAAGAACAUAUUACAACUUUCUCUGAACUUUUAAAAUUUCUAGUUGUUUAUAUGUAGGUGCAAUGCACCUUAUGUAUUAGCAUUAGUAGACCUCUCUCGUUUAUAAAGGAAUAAAUACACGUGUACCAAAAGGGGGGGCCGAAAAAUGCUUUACUGAUGGAAGCAUAUGAAUAAAAACUUUGGUGGCCCCAGAUUUCACCCAAGCUGGUCGUUCCACUGAUGCUGGGGAGGCCCGUUUGGAUGUGACGGUUCAUGAGUCUACGCAUUUGAGGACCCUUCUCGGUGGUCUCCCCCAGAUUCCCCCACUGGGGUUAGUGCAUCUUCUAAGGAAGAAGCUCUGUGCCCGUGUUUUGGGCUCAGAAACCAUGAGAUGCAAGUACUGGCCCCCUUAGAACUGUGCUUCCCACAGUCAAGUGCAGGGAAGCUCUGUCCUUGCAAAUAAUUUUAAAUCCCUCAUAUUUGCUUCAUACUCUAAAGUGCACAAAGCAACGAAAAAGUAGUUUUAUGUGUACAGACCGAGAGACAGGGCAGGUACUAUGAUCCUGUUUUAUAUAUGAGGAAAGAGAUUCAGAAAGGCCAAAUGAUUUCCCCAUGGCCACCCAGCUAUGGGACAAGGCCAUCACCCAAACCCCCAUUCUCCCAAUAAGGACUCCAGGGCUCUUUUCACUUAUAACCCAGUGCAAACGUGCUCCCUGCAUCCCAGGGAGAAAGAGGUGACGGUGUACAAGUCCGCCAGUGUAAAUGUGACCCCCAGCUAUUU
Molecule: long non-coding RNA, 4567 nt
Filed under: Sus scrofa (pig)
Lineage: Eukaryota; Metazoa; Chordata; Mammalia; Artiodactyla; Suidae
Description: lncRNA (ENSSSCG00000061673.1)
Source: RNAcentral